Long non-coding RNA from Bubalus bubalis (water buffalo), 507 nucleotides. RefSeq lists it as uncharacterized. The record is from RefSeq and is a predicted model, not a curated record. Lineage: Eukaryota; Metazoa; Chordata; Mammalia; Artiodactyla; Bovidae. The transcript is spliced from 2 exons.
ACAAAAGUGUGUAUAUAUUAUGAAAAACAAAACCCUUUUCGUAGAAAUCAACCAAUUGGGUACCUGACAGUCACCCCUUCCCGCCAAAGCUCUAGCUCCUCCCUGAUCUAUCUGAGAGUUUGCUUCCAGAUAGUUGGUUAUCUGUCCACCCCACAAUCCUCUCCACCACUGUCUCAGACCUCAGCGUAUCUGGCUGGAAUCCUGCAUCCCAUAUCCCUGGCCUGAGCGAGAAGGGGUAAAUUCAGGCAGGUUUGGCCAAGGAAUCAACUGGAACAUCAGAGACUCUGCUACACCAAGAGUUGCUCCUCCCUAGGCUGUAAAUGUGGACAAGGUCUCAAUGGGAGACUGCAGAGUGGAAAGAGACCUCCAGAACAACCCACCCUAACAGGAUGCAAAAUGCAGUGUAUACUAUGAUUACAACUCUGCUUAAAUAUAUCUGCCGAUGGACUAACACUGGAAAUGAAUAAACAAAAAUGAAAACAACUGUGUGAUAUGGUGGUCGGAACA